This 1461-nucleotide long non-coding RNA is filed under the name Malus domestica (apple). Its description in RNAcentral is "long non-coding RNA (MDOM_LNC014544)". Lineage: Eukaryota; Viridiplantae; Streptophyta; Magnoliopsida; Rosales; Rosaceae. The record is from RNAcentral.
UCAACUCUAGCCCAUCAUUUAUGUUUUGAGGAGCGAGCCCUUAUUCUAUAAAAUGAACUCCCUCACCUUCAACGCCACAAGCCGAGCCAACCAAGGCAACAUAAGUCAUAAGCCGAGCAGCCUCACAACAUGUGUUACUUCUAGUUGAGCAUCAUUUCACAUUGAGCACCGCCUCAUAUUGAGUAUUAGUUCUAUACGACAUCUAGUUACUUCGGCCCACACAUGGACUAAAUUUCAAGUCUCCAGCCAAAAUACUCUCUUGACUGAAGACUUGGGGGACUACUGUUGGUACCAUAUUAUAUUGGUCCUCGUUACUUGGGCUUCCAGACAUUGAGCUCAUGAUUUAUGUAAAAGGGGAGGAGCCCUUAGUCUAUAAAAGGGACUCCUCACCCUCACAAGUUGGAUCCUCACAUACAGAAGCCACAAGGCUCACAAACAAAGAAACUCUCUCAAACUCUCUCAUACUCUCUCUUUCUCUGGGGGACUCCCCCUCACACUUGUAAUCCAUACAUCCAUACAGAGAAAUACAAUCAACAUCAGUGUGGACGUAGCCCAAACAUUAGGGUGAACCACGAUACAUCUUUGUGUUCUUGGGCGUUUGCAUGAUUCAUGGUCGGAUUUACGUUGUUCUAAGACCCCUCCGGUUUUGUGCAUCAACAAUUUGUACCAUAGAAUCGACUCAAAGAUCGAGCAUAAUUACUACGAAAAGUUUCCAUCAAAGCUAAUUGAGUUUAUGGCAUUCAUCUUGUUCAUUUUACAGUGAAUAUAUAGCACCAUAAUAUAUAUGCGUGCAUGAGCGGAUCUAUAGAGGGACCCGGAUGGUCCCAAUAAAAGAUCUUUUGAAGGACCUUCGAGGACCUCUUGGUUCUCUUGGAAGGUGGUGGUGGGGAGGUGGUCGGGACCUCUUCGGUUCCAUAGACGUGCAGAGGCUGAUAUGCAGAGAAGCUGUGAUGUCGAUGGUGACGCCUUGCAACCAUCGUUGUUUGUAGCAAAUUUGCAGAGAAGCUGGGAAGAAGAUGAGACGAGCUGCCCAAUUUUUCUAACAAAACGACAGUGUUUUGCUUAAUUAAAACGUUUCGUUUUAUUAAAUACACUCACUAAAAUGUAAAAAGAAAUAAAAAUAGAACCCAUACAUUACAAUAUUUCAAGAAGUGAGCCCACUCGUCGGUUUUUAGUUCUCUUUCUACUACAGACUCUCUCAUACACCCUACUAUGUUUCAGACCAAAAGGAAAAUUUGGUUGCCCACCUCUUCGGUUUUUAGCUCUGUUUCUGUCUUAAAAAGUCUUGGAUUGUGUACAUUAGGAUAACUUUACAUGUGUGGGCUGUUGGAACUUUAAAUUAGCAAGAACCCUAAAUCACAAUCCACAUACAUGUAUCUGAACAAGAGUUUGGUUAUCAAUUCAAUCCAAAUGCAUUUGAUAGAAAGAAAUUAAUAACUUCUCACCUUUGGCUGAUGUAUG